GUUAAGCGAUGCUUCAUACCCGACUGAACUUGAACUUGUGUUGUGCUUGAGGGCCUUGUGGGUGUCGUCGGGCUGCUUGGAGAGACUGGAGCGACAGGAGAAAAGGGAGACCGUGGUGAGACAGGCUUCCCUGGACCCCCUGGAGAAAAGGGAGCUAUGUAAACCCCACGGAAGUCCAUAUUUCACUACAGGGACACAGUUAAUACACCGAAAGAAGUACCUAGAGAAGCUACUUUUUUGGAUUUUUGCAGGGUCACCAAGGAAUAACGGGUGAACCUGGACCACCUGGACAUCCAGGAAAACCAGGAGCAGCUGGGUCAGUUGGACAUGUAGGCACCAGAGGACCCAAAGGCGAGCAGGGUCCACAGGGACUUGAAGGUCCAGCAGGAAAGCCAGGAUCAGGAGGGCCAAAGGGUUCUGAAGGUCCUCCAGGACAGCCGGGCCUCCCUGGGUUGCAGGUACGGGCAGGUGCACUGUAGUGUAUAGCACUUUAAGUCACCUUAAAAUGGACAUUUCUCUUCAAAAGAUACAUUUAAAUGAAACAGAAGUGGUCAGAGACUAUCAUUUAUGGCUCAUUGUAAGAAACAAAAAUACAAAUAGAUACAUGUGUUUGGAGCAAAUGAAAUGACUACUAACCAUUAAUUUGCCCCAGUGAAUCAGUUGU
This 664-nucleotide long non-coding RNA is filed under the name Scleropages formosus (Asian bonytongue). RNAcentral describes it as "lncRNA (ENSSFOG00015024590.1)". Lineage: Eukaryota; Metazoa; Chordata; Actinopteri; Osteoglossiformes; Osteoglossidae. The record is from RNAcentral.